RNAcentral lists this transfer RNA (72 nucleotides) under Tupanvirus soda lake. RNAcentral describes it as "tRNA-Lys". It matches the Rfam family "tRNA". From Rfam's summary of the family: Transfer RNA (tRNA) molecules are approximately 80 nucleotides in length. Their secondary structure includes four short double-helical elements and three loops (D, anti-codon, and T loops). Lineage: Varidnaviria; Bamfordvirae; Nucleocytoviricota; Megaviricetes; Imitervirales; Mimiviridae. The record is from RNAcentral.
GCCCUAAUAACUCAAUGGUAGAGUACCGGCCUUUUAAUCCGGCAACCUUGGUUCGAUUCCCAGUUAGGGCAC